This 88-nucleotide transfer RNA is filed under the name Candidatus Peribacteria bacterium. RNAcentral's name for it is "tRNA-Leu". It matches the Rfam family "tRNA". Rfam says of the family: Transfer RNA (tRNA) molecules are approximately 80 nucleotides in length. Their secondary structure includes four short double-helical elements and three loops (D, anti-codon, and T loops). Lineage: Bacteria; Candidatus Peregrinibacteriota; Candidatus Peribacteria. The record is from RNAcentral.
GCCGCUGUGGUGGAACGGUAGACACGGGGGACUUAAAAUCCCCUGCCCGAUUUUGGGCGUGCUGGUUCGACUCCAGCCAGCGGUACCA